UAGUAACUAAAUUCUUAUUUAAUUAAUUAUAAUAUUCUAAUGAAACAAAUGAAACAUGAAUAAAGACUCAAUAAUUAUUACUACUAUUACCAAUUAUACUUGUGUUUUUUAAGUAUACACAUGAGUUAAAAAUAUAAAAGAGAAAGAAAACAAAAUGGAAUAAACCAAAAGCUGGGGUAAGGCCUGCAUAAGGGGUUAGCUUAAAAAAAAAACAAGCCACAAGGGACCACGAGGCCCAAGGGCGCUUUUCUUCUGUCGGAUUGGGCCGGAAGCCCAUAAAAGCUCCAUCCUAGUGGGAAAACCAAACAGAAUUUAAACCAGCAGAAGAAAAAAGGGCGGAUGCAGCCACGUGGCCCCCACCCAGCUUUGGUACACGAACAAUAUGUGUUGGUAGACGAACAUCUCCAUUAAUCCGUCUUAUUUCCAAUUUUCAAAAGCAGAGUAAUUAUUCAAACCAACACAGUAGCCAAGACCUAGUCUAAAUCGGAACUUGGGAAGGCCAGAUGAGUGACAACACAUUUAAUCUUAAUUAAGGCUAUUAAAACUAUCAUAAUAUAUAAAAGCAAAAUAACACAUUUGGAGAAAGAAAAAAAAAUAAAACAUGCUUGGCUCUUCUCAUGUUCCUAUUAUCCUAUCCCGUCGUUCUCAUCAGAGAGGAGCGGCGGCGCCGCCCCCGAACAUGAAAAUUUUAACACAAACCCACCAUUGAAUUGAUCCCCAAGCUCGAAUCCGAAACCAACUCCCUUUAUAUACCUACCGAUUGCUCUAAUAAAAAACUCAACCUUGAUUUUGCCAAAACCUAUACUAAACAACUACUCCUAAAACAAAAUCUUGAUCUAAUGAACCAAACAAAAUGCAUCAUACAAGAGGAGUUUCUAUGGAAAGCCAAGGUCAAAGCUCGGGUUAAAGACACACAAAGUAAGACUAACCUUCGAUGGAUCUUAAUCGCGCUCAAAUGUGCGUCUUGAUCGUGAAAAAAAGAAANUUCCAAAAUUGUGCUUGGUGAAAAAUUGGUUUGACCUAGGGUUGUUUGACUUGUGGUAUAUUUGUGCACAUUUUGCCAUUUUUGAUGUGAAAUUCUCAUACUUAAAAAGAAAUGUUUGAAAUUUUUUGUGGUGAUUCUAGACAUG
Molecule: long non-coding RNA, 1130 nt
Filed under: Lathyrus oleraceus (garden pea)
Lineage: Eukaryota; Viridiplantae; Streptophyta; Magnoliopsida; Fabales; Fabaceae
Description: Pisum sativum (pea) long non-coding RNA (PSAT_LNC036987)
Source: RNAcentral